UACGAAGGGGGCUAGCGUUGCUCGGAAUCACUGGGCGUAAAGGGUGCGUAGGCGGGUCUUUAAGUCAGGGGUGAAAUCCUGGAGCUCAACUCCAGAACUGCCUUUGAUACUGAGGAUCUUGAGUACGGGAGAGGUGAGUGGAACUGCGAGUGUAGAGGUGAAAUUCGUAGAUAUUCGCAAGAACACCAGUGGCGAAGGCGGCUCACUGGCCCGAUACUGACGCUGAGGCGCGAAAGCGUGGGGAGCAAACAGG
RNAcentral lists this ribosomal RNA (253 nucleotides) under uncultured bacterium. RNAcentral's name for it is "partial 16S ribosomal RNA". It matches the Rfam family "Bacterial small subunit ribosomal RNA", at positions 524 to 776 of the family's 1533-position model. The record is from RNAcentral.